RNAcentral lists this ribosomal RNA (427 nucleotides) under uncultured bacterium. RNAcentral's name for it is "bacterial SSU rRNA". It matches the Rfam family "Bacterial small subunit ribosomal RNA", at positions 355 to 773 of the family's 1533-position model. The record is from RNAcentral.
UGGGGAAUUGUUCGCAAUGGGCGCAAGCCUGACGACGCAACGCCGCGUGGAGGAUGAAGAUCUUCGGGUCGUAAACUCCUUUCGAUCGAGACGAAUGGCCUUCGGGUGAACAGCCCGGAGGAAUGAUGGUACCGAGAGAAGAAGCCCCGGCUAACUCCGUGCCAGCAGCCGCGGUAAUACGUAGGAUGCAAGCGUUGUCCGGAAUUAUUGGGCGUAAAGGGUGCGCAGGCGGUUUUUCAAGUCAGAUGUGAAAUAUCCCGGCUUAACUGGGAGGGGCCAUUUGAAACUGAAAGACUAGAGUGCAGGAGAGGAUAGCGGAAUUCCCGGUGUAGUGGUGAAAUGCGUAGAUAUCGGGAGGAACACCAGUGGCGAAGGCGGCUAUCUGGCCUGCAACUGACGCUGAGGCACGAAGGCUAGGGGAGCGAAC